Molecule: unclassified non-coding RNA, 354 nt
Filed under: soil metagenome
Description: partial contains 5.8S ribosomal RNA, internal transcribed spacer 2, and large subunit ribosomal RNA
Rfam family: 5.8S ribosomal RNA (bases 1-120)
Source: RNAcentral
GAUGAAGAACGCAGCGAAAUGCGAUAAGUAAUGUGAAUUGCAGAACUCAGUGAAUCAUCGAAUCUUUGAACGCACAUUGCGCCCCCUGGCAUUCCGGGGGGCAUGCCUGUCCGAGCGUCAUUUCUGCCCUCCAGCCCGGCUGGGUGUUGGGCGCUGUCCCCCCGGGGACACGCCCCAAAGGCAGUGGCGGCGCCGCGUCGGGUCCUCGAGCGUAUGGGGCUUUGUCACCCGCUCGGGACGGACUCGUCGGCGCUGGUCUUCCUCCAGGCGACCCUUCGGGGCUCGUCUUCCUUCGGUUGACCUCGGAUCAGGUAGGGUUACCCGCUGAACUUAAGCAUAUCAAUAAGCGGAGGA